UGGGGAAUAUUGCGCAAUGGGCGAAAGCCUGACGCAGCGACGCCGCGUGGGGGAGGAAGGCCUUAGGGUCGUAAACCCCUGUCAGAUGGGACGAACCGUAGAUCGGCGAAUACCUGAUCUGCCUGACGGUACCAUCAGAGGAAGCUACGGCUAACUCCGUGCCAGCAGCCGCGGUAAUACGGAGGGAGCGAGCGUUGUUCGGAAUUACUGGGCGUAAAGCGUGCGCAGGCGGUCGCGCAAGUCAGGUGUGAAAGCCCCGGGCUUAACUUGGGAAUUGCAUUUGAAACUACGUGACUGGAGUGUGGCAGAGGGAGGUGGAAUUCCACGUGUAGCGGUGAAAUGCGUAGAGAUGUGGAGGAACACCGAUGGCGAAGGCAGCCUCCUGGGCCAACACUGACGCUCAUGCACGAAAGCGUGGGGAGCAA
This 425-nucleotide ribosomal RNA is filed under the name uncultured bacterium. Its description in RNAcentral is "bacterial SSU rRNA". It matches the Rfam family "Bacterial small subunit ribosomal RNA", at positions 355 to 771 of the family's 1533-position model. The record is from RNAcentral.